This is a long non-coding RNA of Odocoileus virginianus texanus, 1416 nucleotides long. RefSeq lists it as uncharacterized. Lineage: Eukaryota; Metazoa; Chordata; Mammalia; Artiodactyla; Cervidae. The record is from RefSeq and is a predicted model, not a curated record.
CUCGCCGCCUUCGGUCGCGUCCUGGCCGUUGCCCCAGCUCUGCUUCCUCUGGGCUGCAGCGGUCGGGAGAGUUGUGGCAAGAAAGGAUGCUUGUUAUUGUUAUUUGGGAGAUACUUUUUUUUUCUGUUUUUAAAGGCACGGUGCCUCUUCGCCGACAGGAGCCAACAUUUUAGCACCAGCGGAGGUUGGUCUUCUGUCGUGCCUUAGCGUCAGCCCUCCGUGAAUCCCACGUCGUUUUAACUCGUCUUUGCUUCCAUGGGAAAACUACGAAGCAAUGUAGUACAUAACCCUCUAAACUCAGGGUGUGUGUCAGGGGAGCUUUAAACUAUGGACUCCGGAAGAUACAGUCAGUAGAAGUCAAGCUCAGUUUAGUUUAAAAAAAAAAAGGAAAAUAAUCUCAUAGGAAAAAAAAUAAGUAUUUUGUAAAUUAUUCAUACUAGUUCCCUUACACUUUUAAGCCUCCCACUCUAGUUAUCGUCUUGAUGUGUAAUCCUGCCGUUUUGAUUUAAAAACAUUCAGUGAAACUUAAAAUUGUGAUUUUACUAGACUGAAGUAGAACAUGAAAAUAAUGGGCCUUUCCUCCUAAUUCAAUUGCUUCAUUGACUGUUGUGGGAGAGGGUGAGACGCCUUACCUAACCUACUGAUAAGGUACUUUCAGCAGGAAAUCCACCUUAAUUCAUUUCCAAUCAAUCUUCAGUUUGACUCAUAGGUCAAAUAAAGGAUUGCUAAAAAUCGAAAAUGUGGAUGUUUUAUCCUCCACUGGAAAAGGCUACAGACAAACCAAUUGUCUUUCUAUAUGAGAAGCACCGUACAGCAUCUGAACAGCACACCAACUUUCUGCUAAGUUGCUAUUCCAUUCAACUGCAAAAAUACUUGCACUGACCCUGGAAACAGAAUGGAGAAAUAGAAGGAAACAGAUUUCUGUAAAACAGCUACUUCCCUGCUCUAUGUUAUUGCCAUCUUGGGGACCCUUCUGUUACCACACUCACAAGCUCCAGCAUGUCUCCAUGUCUUGGCCAGAGCAAUAGAGGCAAAUGACAGGCAGUCCCAUCCUUCACCAGUUUUCCAGAGAAAUAAUUCUUCUAUAAGCCUGAUGUUAACUUUCGAUUAAAAUAAAUACUCUUCAUCAUUUUAGGACAAUAUCUUUCCAUUCACUGGAUAUCAGUCAAAUACCAAUUUCAUAUCUUCUAUGCUGUGCUUUUAUUUACUUUUCAUUUUUCUUAAAGUGUGUCAUGUUUUAAAUGUAAAUUUUAAAGUAAAUUAACUUAAAUUAAGUGGAAAACUUUCCAUCAGUAUAGAAGUUGGAAAAAGAAAAGCAAAAAGAACAACAAGAAGAUGGAAAAACAAAACCACUUUCCAUAAAGGGGAGGUAACCAUAAAAUUUUUUAAAAAGCACAAAACAGUGUUAUAUUCUGU